GGUUUCGCUUCGCUGGCGCCCGCAGUGCUCUUCCCCCGCCGAGGCCUGUGGUUUGUGGAGUCGAAUUUCCCUGCCACCAGUGCUCGGUUAGCAGGGGCGCCAGCCUGGGCGCCUGCGCGGACAGCGGGCGUCGUCACCAUGGCAGUAUCCGCUGGAGGCCCAGAAACGUAACAACAAAGCCUGGAUGACAGCACGUCUGUUUAUAGCAUGAUUUACAGAAUAUUUUAAGCCCACAGUGGGGACCUGCUGCUCAGGAAAAAAAAGAUUUCUUUCAAGAUAUUACUGUUCAUUGACAAGGCACCUGGUCACCCAAGAGCUCUGAUGGAGAUGUGCAAAGAGAUUGAUGUUGUUUUCCUGCAUGCUUGCAUCUAUUCUGCAGCCCAUGGAUCAAAGGCAAUCCCUUUUCUGGGCACAUACCCAAAGGAAAUGAAAUCACCACUUUGUAAAGAUAUCUGCACUCCCAUGUUCAUUGCAGCAUUAUUUACAGUAGCCAAGGAUCUUGGAGUGAAAAUAUACUGGAAUAUUUUCUGAGAAAUAGGCAGAUUACAGCAGAAGACGGCGCUGAGAUCACCUGGUAUCAUGCAGCUAACCACAAGGCACAAACGAAUGAGGCACUGAAAAAGCCUCCCAAAGUGCUGGGAUUACAGGUGUGAGCCACCACGCCCAGCAAAGAAAUUUACUUUUAUUAAGCCUGAUGCCUUUGACAGAAAACUCAGAUGAGUGGAUUGGCCACGUGAGAUGGCAGUGACAAAAACUUCAGUUUAAAAUGCCUUAUGGGUCUGCAUUGGCAUUCCUUCCCACUGAUGAAAUUCCAGGAGCUUUUAGUAAAUGAAAAGCUGCAUUUGCAUGAAGAACCCAGAGAAAUUACUGACUGGUUUGAAGAUAAUGACAUGCAUGGUCGGAUAAGAAGACAUGCCAUGGAGUUGCUUUUUGACCAUCAGUAUUGUUUCCACCAAAUUUGUGAUCUGCAUAUAAGUGCAUGUGAAAUGCAUUUCCACGUACCCAAAGCAGCAUAGAAGCAUGGCACAGAAGAUCGGAAAAUUUAAUAGAGAAUACUCAUGCAGGUACUGCUCACAUGAUAGAGGCUGAUGUCCUUCUUCCAAGUGAUGGAUCAGAACACAGCCAGCCAAUUAUGGCCCAUCCCCCUGAAACAAACAGUGAUAAUACUCUACAGGAGUGGCUGACUGAAGUUAUGAAAAGCAAUAAAGGCAUCAAGCUGGAUUUCAAAAGAGUAAGAGGCCCAAAAGGAGUGGAGAGAAGAGAGGUAGAAGCAUAGAUAGAAGUACUGCCAUCUCUUAGGAAGAGAGAGGGAAAUGUGAGGAGGGGUCGGUGAGUGUUCUCCCCUCCAAUAUCCAUCUCCAAAAUUCUUAGCCUCCCAUUACAAUAUUCACUACAAGUCUGGCAGCUGUAGAACCAUCCAUGAUGCUCUUGGAAAAUGUGAAGAGGCAUCUGAAGCGUCCUGUAUGGAUUAAUGCCGAUAUUCUUCCUGGUCCAAAUGGAAAUAGCAAAGUAAUAGAUGCAAAACCAUUUUUAGACACCGUGACAUCCUUCUUUCCAGACGUGACGUUUUCCCUGGGUUGGACAACAGGGUGGCAUCCUGAGAAAGUCAAUGAGGGGUACAGUUGGACAAUGGUGAAAGAGAUGGAAUAUAUAUGUAAUGAACUAAGUCAACCUGUAACGUUCCCUGUCAGAGCAGCAUUAGUCAGGCAGUCUUGUUCUCAGUUACUUUGGCUGUUAAAGAAAUCAAACAGGUACAGCCUGACUAUUUGGACUGGAAAAAAUGAUAACUAUUCCAUUGAAGAUUUACUUUACAUUAGAGACCAUUUUGACAAAAAACAAGUUUUCUAUGACAUCUUGGAACCACAAAACCAUGAAUUUAAACAAGCCAUUGGAAUCAAAGUUAAUCUCUAAGAAGAAGAUUCUCAAUUAUUUCCUGUGUUUUGGUUUCAUAAUCCUUCUCUCCAUUGGUCUGAAUUAAUUACCAUAUAAAUUAUGGUUAUUGAUUUACAUUCCAAGUCGUCUAAUCAAGAAACGUUUAUUGUGUGCUUACUGGGUGGGCAUAUGUCCUUAUAAUAGUGCACUUACAUAAAAGAUUUGGAAAGAAGAGAUUUAUUUCCACAC
Molecule: small RNA, 2121 nt
Filed under: Pongo abelii (Sumatran orangutan)
Lineage: Eukaryota; Metazoa; Chordata; Mammalia; Primates; Hominidae
Description: processed transcript
Source: RNAcentral